CGAUGUCCAAUCAGGAAACGGGGGUGUGUGCUAGUGGGCGUGGCUCGACUGUGUUGCUGUGAAAAUGUCGCUGGGCUCGGGUUUUCAUCAGGGCAGGGGACCACUCUGGAUUCAAUAACAACCAGGAGGAUAGUGGAGGAGUGCAGCAGCGGGGGACGCAGAAGUGAGGGUGACGGUCUGGAGGCGUUGCGAAGUAGCCGCUGUUGAUGGAAAUUACAGUCGGCAUCGAUUUCAAGUUCCCAUGAAAGUGUGCCUGUGGAGAAAUGACAAAGGCCGAUUUUCUCAGGACCACGCUGCAGGUAAAGCUCUGCCGGACUUCUCCUUCAUCACACAGAGCGUGAUGCUUGAGUAAUGGUUGUGAGCGGUAACUGCAAACCAGGGCCUCUGUCUCGUUUCCAUUAGAAUUGAAGAAACAUCUGAUCAAGGUAUGUGAAUAAUCAGAUAAACAGUAACCCGGAUUCUUAAAAUAAACUCUGCUAAUGUUUGACUGAACGAAAACAGACUAUUUAUAAGACAGUCCUUUUAAAGAUACAGCUACGUCCCUGGUUUGUAUCGACCACAGGAACUUUGCAUGGACAUUAAAUCAUGCCGCAUUAUUUUCACAGCGUUUCUUUUUUUUCACAGUAGUGCUCAUUGUCUUUAUCGGGCAACGGUGUGAAUUUGAAUAGAAGCACUGGAUAAGGCAGUGUUCUGUGUUUCCUUUAGGGCAGAGGAAGGCCAAAUUGAAAAAGGGAAGUACAUGUGGUGGGCCUGUACGUGAUAUUCAAGAGAGAGGCUGCAAUGGUUAAUAAGUUCACACUAUAUCCAUUUUUAUCUCGCUCCGCUCCGGAGUUAAAAUGCAGUGGCGCUGAAUCUGGAGCAGCGUGAUUUCUGCGUCAUAAAUCACUGUAUCGAUGUGAGUUUUUUUAAAAAAUAAAUAAAUAAAUCAAACGCCGGCGUAAACCCGAGCACAGUGUAAAUAAUCUACUCGGUACAGAGUCGGGAGGAAGUGGAUUUCCUCGUUAGGCAGCAUUAAAACGCCAUACGAAGGCUUAUGCAACUGAUACACACGCUGGUGAUGUGCCUUUAAAACCAGUGGGAUGUCAGGUGAUCGAGGAGUCUCAGUCAGCUCAGCUUCACAAACAGAGGAGCCGGAGGAGUGUGCCUCUAGCCGAGAGCAGAGAGGAGAGCGCCAGAGAGCAGGGCAGCGGCGAGGGAGAGACCCAAUUAUAAGGGGACAUAGGGGAAAAUUGGGACACAGCAACGUCACAAAGUUGGGGACAGGCUGCCGUGGUGGUAGGGCCCCUUUAACUGCGGUCUGCUCAUGCUCACUUGCCUUCUGUGGCAGCUAGCAAGUGUGUUUCUGCCUCAGCUUGAUCAAGGAGCUGCGUUGUGUAGCCACAACAGUGGCAUAAAAGCACAGAGAAUUAAGUGCUGCGUCACACUCAGGAAGGGGAAUAGCGUGAGUGUGCGCGCGCGUGCACAGCUGUGCGUGUGUGUGCGGGGCCGCGCACGUCCACGUGCACUGCUGUGGGGUCUGAUCUGUGUAUAUGUGUCCAGCUGGAAGUAGCAACCUAAUAGCAGUUCUGCUGUUGCAACAAGAUGGGAAGAAAGAGUGCGCGUGUUUCAGAGUCAAGCAGAAAGGAGGAGAAAGGGAGAUACAAGGGGAGGGAGGGAGAGCAAGUCAGAGAGUGUGUGAGGCAGAGAGAGGGAGAGAGGUUUUCGGAUUAGUUGCUACGUCACUUUUUCAUGUCGGGAGAAACAGAAGCUGAGAUAACAGAAGCCCAGAGUCAUCGUCAGUCGUCCUCCACCUGGAGUGGACGGCGCUGGUUUCGGACAAGCUCGGCUUCCUCCUCCUCCUCUUCCUCUUCCUCUUUGGUAGUUUUGAUGUGCUCUGCCUGUCGCUGCUAUAUACGUGUGUGUGUGUAUGUGUGCGUGUGUGCCGUGUAGUUCCUGUGAGCUGCUGCCCGAGUUCCAACAUGGAUGCUGAAGAUGUGACACAGUUCCACUAGGUCUUGUUUUGAUGGUCGUGGUAAAGGCGUGCGUUGAGUGGGCAGAGGUGCGACAAAGGGGUUAACAAAAGAAUAUUCUGGAGGACUCUUAAUAUCACUGCGAAGCUCAGUCUGGAAUGAGUGGCCGAGAAUUACCGAGGUAUUCGCACAUCGCGUCUUUCUUUCUUCUUCUUUUUUUUUUUUUUUCCUCCUUUGUGCCAGCAGCAUCUCGUGGUAUACGGAAGAUUGCAUUGGCGCAAGCAGACGUAUACGGCCAUGAGUGGCGUCGCCACGAGGCUUAUUCUGAAACAGAGUUGUUUAAAACACCGUCAUAUGGUGUGUGUCAGGUGGACGGCGCAGCAAAUCAGAUGAAAUUACAGAUUUAAUUUGUUAUUCGCCUCCGACAAUUGUGUCACAACAAAUGCGUGUGUAUAUGUAUCUGUGUUCAAACUGUUGAAUGGCCUACUUUUUUUUGGGAGGGGGGGGGGCGGUUAGCUCUUGUUGGAGUAAAGGGUGAGCAUCUAGAGGGAAACGCAGGCAUGUAUGAAGGUGGAGACUACUUGGAAUCCAGCUGCAUUUUGCCAUCGGAUGUCAGUCCGUGGCAAGUGGCACUUUUGUCAUGUGAUUUGUUUUCACCCUCCAGGGCCACUGGGAUUUGGCAAAACCUUUCCCAAGACACAUUUGUUUCUGCGUAGUUAGGAGAGACACAGAUGAUGACGCAGUCACUUCUGGGCUGGACUUCUCCUCAACCAGUACACAGCUUGCAUCUCUCCUUCUGUUUAUCUGCCUAUCUCUCUCGGCCCUGCAGAAGGGACAGGCUGAAGGGGCUAAAUGUCAUGGCUCUGGAUCAGAGGGAGCGAGAAAGAGAGGACAGCGAACCUGAGACAAAAGAGAGAGAGAUGGAUAGAGAGAGGGGGGAAGUUGUUUGUUCUCUUGGUGACUCUGCUUUCGCUUCUCUCCAGUUCACAUGAACUGGACUUCCUAAAGCUGCUGCAUCACAGGCCGUCGUGCCAAAACUGGAUUUUCAUUGGAUGGGAGGAGCUCCCCCAGCGCCACAAGCUGCGCAGCGGCACUUCAUUGGCUGAAAGCGAGCAAGCAGGCAGGCAGGCAGCUCCUGUUCAGCAUCCGAUUGGCCGAGAAGCAUCGCUCUCUUACGCUACGGUCGCAUGUUUACAUGGCUCGACUUGUUUACUGCUGGCUAUCUGUUGAAAAGUUAGAUGUGGAUUUUUUUUUUUUUUGUACAAAUAUUUUCUGCGUGGCUCUAGAAAGCUGUGAAGUGAUGAAUCAGAUAGUUUUCAGGUAUGUGUGAGAGGAAAAGAUGUGUUGUUAUUCUGAGAAGUGAUUAUCAGAGUUGCUGUCGAGCCGGUUUCUGACCAUCCCUGCAUCUUAUGACGCAGUGGACUGAUCUCAGUGCUUGGUGACGCGGUGCUUUACAGGUACUGUCAGUUUCUAACAACUGUAUGAGCUGCACUCGCAUAUUCGCAUACUGUACUUGUAUUUUUAAGACGUUCAGAGGAGUUUCAGUAAAAGACAUGUUAACAUCUUAACGACUCUGAGAUCCAUAGCCGUAAAUACUUGUCUGUAUGACCUGCUGUGCACAGGCCAGAAGAGCGUUUAAUCUCAGUUAAUGAACUUGUGCUCCAGUAGAAUUAUGAGUUAUCAGUUUUCCCAGUUAUUCAUACCACAUUACGUAGCCACUUCCUGGAGCCCUCCUUCGAAAAUAGAGUGACGCAUCAGUGCCUUUCCUUUUUAAGAAAAUUACAGGAAACUCUGAAGUCCAUAAAAUAAACUCAGGCCUUCCCGUCCACUCUGAACUGUACGUAUCUCAGCAUCGUCCUGCGUGGCGUCCCGGCCUGAUUCACGCCGUCGAAGGAGGCAAGUUUUCUCGUUCUUCUGGCUUAAAGAUGCUACAUUUGUGAGAUGAUGCAAGAGCAUGUGUGGCUUCCUGUGGUCUGCAUUGCAGCUCCAGCUUCUACAGUCAGCACCUCUCUGCCUCUUUCGCUCUCUCUCUCUCUCUGCUCAAUGUGCUGACGGUAUAACAUACUUUAUACCUCCACUGCCUUUUAAAAAAAAAAAAAAAAAAAAAAAAAAACAUAUUCGCCCCCUUUUAAGAUUAUUGUAACAAUGAUUGUAGCUUUAACACUGCAGCUUGUGCACCUUCAGUCAUGGGGAGGGGCGCUACAGUUAGUCGUUGGUAGGUGUGGGCUAUGCAUCAACAUGAGGCAUGAAAUGCCACAAAAGUUAACUAUUUUAGUAGCAAUCGAACAACUGAUUCAUGUUUUUAUUUCUUAUUGUGACGGUAAGCUAAAUUUUAACUUCGUAGUAUUUCGUUAUCCCGCUGAAAACUUCAACUCUAAGCUGCCACAGUGCCUUUCAUGCACAUUUUGCUGCGGUUUGCUGUCCAGCAGUGUUCUGUAGGUACUGUGUUCUUAUUUCUCUGCGAGUAAGGAGCGAUAACCCUGACCCUUGCGGCCGAGGGUUUUCCAAGUGGUGCUUCACAGUCCCAUCGUGAAUCUGUUGUUGAUCGCUCUCUGAACGCUGCCUGUCCCUUUAAAUCUUUUAUAAGCAUUACACAACAGGUCCAGUGGCACACAAGCAACAAACAACCCGAAAAAGAAAACUGACGGGGCUGGGUUGAGCCAGCCAGGAGAAGGAACCAGACACCUACGGACAGACAGGCAGGCCCUGCGAUCAGAGCCGUCACUGUGGCUACCAUGCAAACACACUCCCUCACACGCACACGCGCACACACACACACACACACACACAAAAAAUAAAAUUAAAAGGUGUCUUCAAACGGUCCAUCUGAAGCCUGAUGGUAAACGCUGUGGGGGUUGUGCCCUUCCUCUUAUUGUGAAAAUCAAAGUAAAUCAUAUCUGAUGUUUUCAGGCUGGGGCGAGGCUUCCCUGAUUCGGCUGUAAUGGGUUUUAUUACAGCGUUAUUUGUGGGAGUUGUCACUGUAAACAUGAAUUAAUAAAGGCAGACUGUGUGUGGGUGGGCUCUCGAAGGUUUCGGAGCAAGACAAUGAAUCGUCAGCGGCCCCUUCACGUGCGGCUUAGAGCAAAAGCAGCGAGCGAGGAAGAACAAGGAUAUUAGAAAUGGUUGGGUAGUUUUCUACUUUCUUGAAGCACUUGGCAACAAGUCGGCGAACUGGCCACUACCUGUCCUUGCCCCACCCUCUCAGGGCAUUGUAGCUGCCUUUCUGCGUCAUGCCUCUCACUGCCAGCUAUUGACUGCCACUUCCCCUCUUUUCCCUCGUAGCGGCUGGUGAGAUAAGCGCACCAUCAUCCUCUCUAUUUAACCGGGGCAACAGAGAGAAGGCGACUCAACCUUGGCACACAGCGUCGCAGGUGAGCCAGCACGCUAAAGAUACGCAGCACAGAGGCAGCCUUUCGUGUGUGUCUGUUCUGCCUCGGCCCUUCACGCAUCCACAACGUUUGGAUCGAGUAUCGGCUCGGUCGCGUGGGCGUGUUACAGAGGAAUAGAUUUAGACGUAGAGGUGUUCUGGGGCUUUCGCAGUGGUUUUCCAUUUCAUCUCUCUCCCUCCCUCGCUCGCUCUGCCUUCAUCUGCUUUCCGAACCAGGCCACGGAGUCAAACUUUCUUUGUUGGCACAAACCUGAGUCUGAACCAUCGCAGAAUGCAUCAUGGUCCACUAGAGUCUCCGGACCUCUGUUGGGCUGCCUUGUACCCUCAUCUAGACCCAUUUAAAAAAAAAAAAAAAAAAAACAACUUAUAACGUAAUUUAAAGCUCACUGACCCUGGUACUGAGUUACUGGCGCAUAUUAGUGUGAUGGAGGAACGUGACGCAUUGUUAAAAAAAAAAAAAAGAAAAAAACUGUUUGCAGAAGUUAAAGCCUCUAGAUGAACCAAGAUUGAAUACGACAAUGCCCUUAAUUCUCUCCGCAGAUCUAACCGCACUCAACUCUCCCCACUUAAAGAAGCAACCAGUGCAAAGCUGCAUUGUGAUUAAAUGCCACGCAUGAUAAUGUCACAUUAUUGUGGGCGGUCAAUGCAUAAUUCAUAUCCGCAAACACAGCAUGCAAUGGAAGGUUUGUACACUGUCAUACAAUUACUAACUUGUUCCACGGGGGAUGUGUCUGACUAACGCUCCUGUUCUCUCCCAAAUUUAGGUGGUAAAAUCAAAAGAAACGAGAAAUAACUUUCUGACGUGUAGCGUUUAGUUCAGCGUGAGCACUUAAGACGUUUUUCCUACUUUGGAGAAUGCAUGGGACUUCAGUUGGAGCACUGUGUUUGUACGCCAAUGCUAAUUCUACGUAUAUUCGUCUGCUAAUAUUUAUUUUAUUUCCCAGCAUUUUCUAGAUCCCGCUUUUACAGUGCAGAAGACUGCCUUCGUAUCAGACAUGCCCCCCUUGGAAGCUGGUUUCAGAUGGUGGCUUAGAGUACUGUCAUCCAUCUAGCACCAUUUGAAAUCAGUGUUCUUGGGGCGGGAAGUGUGUUUCACCAACGAGCACUGUGCAGCUGUGAGCUCCCCACAGAGAAAUGGGUUAAAAAAAUAAAAAUAAAAAAAAAAGUCGUUGCCCUGAAUCACCACACAACUGAUGUUUUGAAAAGCUCAAGCUCUUUGUCCUCUUUCCAAGGUUGACCGUUUUCUUUUGGUGUUCAGAGUCUGCUUCUGUUUCUAGCACCAUUUGAAAUCGGUUACAAUGAAGGACAGAUCUCGUCUCCCCUUGAGGAUGUUGCAGCUCAGAGUCAGAGCCACGCACUUCAUGUUACUGACUGACAAUCUGGGACUUUACGCCAUCAAACAGUCAAACUCAUGCAUUCAGUACAAAAAAAGUCCAAGAUUUCUUCCUGCAUUGUACUAAUAUAUGUAAAAACAAGUUUUGGAUGAAGAAUCUAAACUCCUUAACACUGUAGUAAGAUACUGUAAAUGUAUAGCCAUAUUUUUGUCUGCCAACCUGAUCAAGGUAAGAUGCAGUGUUGCAUCCACAAGGUGUCACUGUAACAUAAUUAUUAUACAGUAUUUGACGUGUUACAUUUGGAUUUGUCUUGACCCACAGCCAGUUUCCGUGAUUGUUUAAUUACAUUUUAUUUCUGAUUUGCUUUGAAUGCCGGUCCAUGUUUAUCAAUUUAAAUUUACAGAAGCAGACUUGAAUUACUGCAAUUUCCUGUAUAUCAAAUUAUUUUGGCAAACAUUAAAUAUUUUUCCUCCUAA
Mugil cephalus (flathead mullet) is the source of this 7147-nucleotide long non-coding RNA. RefSeq lists it as uncharacterized. The transcript has 4 exons. The record is from RefSeq and is a predicted model, not a curated record. NCBI's taxonomy places the organism in Eukaryota, Metazoa, Chordata, Actinopteri, Mugiliformes, Mugilidae.